AGACCCGAAACCCGGUGAUCUAGCCAUGGGCAGGUUGAAGGUUGGGUAACACUAACUGGAGGACCGAACCGACUAAUGUUGAAAAAUUAGCGGAUGACCUGUGGCUGGGGGUGAAAGGCCAAUCAAACCGGGAGAUAGCUGGUUCUCCCCGAAAGCUAUUUAGGUAGCGCCUCGUGAACUCAUCUCCGGGGGUAGAGCACUGUUUCGGCUAGGGGGCCAUCCCGGCUUACCAACCCGAUGCAAACUGCGAAUACCGGAGAAUGUUAUCACGGGAGACACACGGCGGGUGCUAACGUCCGUCGUGAAGAGGGAAACAACCCAGACCGCCAGCUAAGGUCCCAAAGUCAUGGUUAAGUGGGAAACGAUGUGGGAAGGCCCAGACAGCCAGGAUGUUGGCUUAGAAGCAGCCAUCAUUUAAAGAAAGCGUAAUAGCUCACUGGUCGAGUCGGCCUGCGCGGAAGAUGUAACGGGGCUAAACCAUGCACCGAAGCUGCGGCAGCGAACGUAUCACUUAAAGCGAUUCAGCGGGUUACGAUUGACGGAGCGAAGCGACGUCAAAGCGUAUACAAAGUCGAGUCGGUUUAAGGAUACGUUCGUUGGGUAGGGGAGCGUUCUGUAAGCCUGUGAAGGUGGCCUGUGAGGGUUGCUGGAGGUAUCAGAAGUGCGAAUGCUGACAUAAGUAACGAUAAAGCGGGUGAAAAGCCCGCUCGCCGGAAGACCAAGGGUUCCUGUCCAACGUUAAUCGGGGCAGGGUGAGUCGACCCCUAAGGCGAGGCCGAAAGGCGUAGUCGAUGGGAAACGGGUUAAUAUUCCC
This 814-nucleotide ribosomal RNA is filed under the name Salmonella enterica subsp. enterica serovar Kentucky. RNAcentral's name for it is "partial 23S ribosomal RNA". It matches the Rfam family "Bacterial large subunit ribosomal RNA", at positions 711 to 1440 of the family's 2925-position model. The record is from RNAcentral. Lineage: Bacteria; Pseudomonadati; Pseudomonadota; Gammaproteobacteria; Enterobacterales; Enterobacteriaceae.